This 425-nucleotide ribosomal RNA is filed under the name uncultured bacterium. RNAcentral's name for it is "bacterial SSU rRNA". It matches the Rfam family "Bacterial small subunit ribosomal RNA", at positions 359 to 776 of the family's 1533-position model. The record is from RNAcentral.
GAAUAUUGGACAAUGGGCGAAAGCCUGAUCCAGCCAUGCCGCGUGUGUGAAGAAGGUCUUCGGAUUGUAAAGCACUUUAAGUGGGGAGGAAGGGCAGUAAGCGAAUACCCUGCUGUUUUGACGUUACCGACAGAAUCAGCACCGGCUAACUCGGUGCCAGCCGCCGCGGUAAUACAGAGGGUGCAAGCGGUAAGCGGAAUUACUGGGCGUAAAGCGGGCGUAGGUGGUUCGUUAAGUUGGAUGUGAAAUCCCCGGGCUCAACCUGGGAACUGCGUCCAAAACUGGCGAGCUAGAGUAGGGCAGAGGGUGGUGGAAUUUCAUGUGUAGCGGUGAAAUGCGUAGAUAUAGGAAGGAACACCAGUGGCGAAGGCGACCACCUGGGCUCAUACUGACACUGAGGUGCGAAAGCGUGGGGAGCAAACAGG